This 327-nucleotide ribosomal RNA is filed under the name uncultured eukaryote. RNAcentral describes it as "partial 18S ribosomal RNA". It matches the Rfam family "Eukaryotic small subunit ribosomal RNA", at positions 1470 to 1796 of the family's 1831-position model. The record is from RNAcentral.
CCCUUAGAUGUUCUGGGCCGCACGCGCGCUACACUGACGAAUGCAACGAGCUUAUAACCUUGGCCGAAAGGUCUGGGUAAUCUCCAAAUUUCGUCGUGAUGGAGAUAGAUUAUUGCAAUUAUUAAUCUUCAACGAGGAAUGCCUAGUAAGCGCAAGUCAUCAGCUUGCGUUGAUUACGUCCCUGCCCUUUGUACACACCGCCCGUCGCUCCUACCGAUUGAAUGGUCCGGUGAAGCGCUCGGACCGCGGCCUCUUGACGGUUCGCUGUCGAUUGGCUGUGGGAAGUUCGUUAAACCUUAUCAUUUAGAGGAAGGAGAAGUCGUAACA